AGAGUUUGAUCCUGGCUCAGAACGAACGCUGGCGGUAUGCUUAACACAUGCAAGUCGAACGAACAAAAUUGGAGCUUGCUCCAAUUUUAGUGAGUGGCAAACGGGUGAGUAACACGUGGGAAUCUACCUAUCAGUACGGAAUAACAUUUGGAAACAGAUGCUAAUACCGUAUAUUCUCCAAGGAGGAAAGAUUUAUCGCUGAUAGAUGAGCCCGCGUAAGANUNGGUAGUUGGUAGGGUAAUGGCCUACCAAGCCGACGAUCUUUAGCUGGUCUGAGAGGAUGAUCAGCCACACUGGGACUGAGACACGGCCCAGACUCCUACGGGAGGCAGCAGUGGGGAAUAUUGGACAAUGGGCGAAAGCCUGAUCCAGCAAUACCGCGUGAAUGAUGAAGGCCUUAGGGUUGUAAAGUUCUUUUAGUUGGAAAGAUAAUGACGGUACCAACAGAAAAAGCCCCGGCUAACUCCGUGCCAGCCGCCGCGGU
Molecule: ribosomal RNA, 484 nt
Filed under: uncultured bacterium
Lineage: Bacteria
Description: bacterial SSU rRNA
Rfam family: Bacterial small subunit ribosomal RNA
Source: RNAcentral